UUGGAGGGCAAGUCUGGUGCCAGCAGCCGCGGUAAUUCCAGCUCCAAUAGCGUAUAUUAAAGUUGUUGCAGUUAAAAAGCUCGUAGUUGAAUUUCGGGAUCAGUACGCUGGUCGUGCCUUCGGUAUGUACUGGUGUUACUGGUUCCUACCUUCUGACGAACCGUCAUGUCAUUAAUUUGGUGUGGCGGGGAAUCAGGACUGUUACUUUGAAAAAAUUAGAGUGUUUAAAGCAGGCUCGCGCUUGAAUACAUUAGCAUGGAAUAAUGAAAUAGGACGUUCGAUCCUAUUUUGUUGGUUUCUAGGAUUGACGUAAUGAUUAAUAGGGAUAGUUGGGGGCAUUAGUAUUCAAUUGUCAGAGGUGAAAUUCUUGGAUUUAUUGAAGACUAACUACUGCGAAAGCAUUUGCCAAGGAUGUUUUCAUUAAUCAAGAACGAAAGUUAGGGGAUCGAAGACGAUCAGAUACCGUCGUAGUCUUAACCAUAAACUAUGCCGACUAGGGAUCGGAUGAUGUUAAUUUUUUAAUGACUCAUUCGGCGCCUUACGGGAAA
Molecule: ribosomal RNA, 548 nt
Filed under: uncultured Glomeromycotina
Lineage: Eukaryota; Fungi; Glomeromycota
Description: SSU rRNA
Rfam family: Eukaryotic small subunit ribosomal RNA
Source: RNAcentral